AGAACGUGAAAUCGAUAUAAUGGAAGCGAAUGAAGUCGACGUAUCUAGUACGUAUUCAGCUUGACGUUCGUGCAAUUGAUCGAGUCUUUGGUGUUCCGUAAGGUCACCGGCUUGGUUAUUGUUGUGCGAAUGUAGAGUGCAUUUGCGUACGGAGUGCGAUGAGUCGAUUGAUGUUGUCGGUGGAAGUUGUUCGUAGAGGACAGUCGGGCUUGUUUCGGUUGUAACCUCGGACGGCGGAUACCUGAUUAAUGUCGAUCGAUUUUGUUGGAGUCUUGGCCCUUACGGUCUUUGUUUCGGCGAUUCUUGAACUUUUUGUUGGACGCAUGCGUACAAUAUUAGGUUUGGAUUUCGUUGUGAAUAAAGGCGACUAGACUCGAUUCAUCGUAUAGUCGAUCACUCAUUCGACCCGUCUUGAAACACGGACCAAGGAGUUCAUAAUACACGCGAGUCAUUGAGUGUUUUUAAAGCUCAAAGGCAUAAUGAAAGUGAAACUACGAACAGUUGAAACAUGAUUGGUAAUUGCGGUUUUUAUUAAUCGAUUGCCAAGCAAUGUUGCCCCAUUCCUGGAACAUGUUCUGGUGUGGAGGUUGASCGUGUGCAAUGAGACCCGAAAGAUGGUGAACUAUGCCUGAACAGGACRAMGCCAGAGGAAACUCUGGUGGAAGUCCRAAGCGGCUCUGACGUGCAAAUCGAUCGUAUGAUUUUGGUAUARGCGCGAAAGACUAMUCCCACUAUCUAGUAGCUGGUUCCUUCCGA
RNAcentral lists this ribosomal RNA (756 nucleotides) under Ektaphelenchoides maafiae. RNAcentral's name for it is "partial large subunit ribosomal RNA". It matches the Rfam family "Eukaryotic large subunit ribosomal RNA", at positions 394 to 964 of the family's 3401-position model. Lineage: Eukaryota; Metazoa; Nematoda; Chromadorea; Rhabditida; Aphelenchoididae. The record is from RNAcentral.